GCCCUUCCCUGUUAUCCUGGACAUUUGGAGCGAAUCCACCUUCAUCACCAACAUUGCAUGCAUCUUGACCGUACUUAGCUUUGAUAAUUCCCUUUAGAGUGUGGUAGACUUCACUACCCAUACGAAGUGCCUCAGCAAAUGUUGGUGCUCCAACAGGUAGAAUCAUGAACUCUUGCAUAGCCAAAUUGUUGCCAGCAUGGCUCCCUCCAUUUAUCACGUUGAAUGCUGGAACUGGCAUUACAAGUUCUUUGGUUCCAGAUAUUUCUUGAAUGUGUUUAUACAAAGGUACUGCUUUUGCUCCAGCACCAGCUCUACACACACUGAGAGAAACUCCAAGAAUGGCAUUAGCUCCAAGUUUUGAUUUAUUAGGAGUUCCAUCAAUCUCCAGCAUAACAGCAUCAACAUCAGUUUGGUUCCUUACAUCAACACCAACAAGUUUGGGGCCUAAAUAUUCGUUAAUAUUCUUUACAGCAUUGAGGACCCCUUUACCACCAUAGAGGCUCUUGUCACCAUCUCUGAGCUCCAAUGCCUCAUAGAUCCCGGUGGAAGCGCCACUUGGAACCGCCGAUCGGUACAGUAGAUCAUCGCCGGUGACCAGAUCAACCUCGACGGUAGGAUUUCCCCUGCUAUCUAUGAUCUGCCUUGCCUUAACAGACUUCACCUUGGCUGAUGCCUUGGAUGCAGUUGCCGAUGGUGCAACGGCGACGGAGCACCGGACGGUGGAAGACGACCUCCGAGAUUGAAUCUUCUGGGUAGCAGGUAAUGAGAAAAGCGGCGUCUGUGAUGUGGGUUUGGUGGAGAAAAAAGUCUUAGAGAGCUGCGCUGGAGCCAAGGCCAUUUCUUUUGUGUGCAACUUUUUUCAGAGCAAAAGCGGUUUUGGGAUUAUUUAAAUGGAGGGAAAAGGUUUAUAGGAAAGUUCGCCGAAGGGCGAAGAAAGCAAGAAUUUGGUAAUGAAAAUGGCUUCGAUGGUGG
RNAcentral lists this unclassified non-coding RNA (972 nucleotides) under Hevea brasiliensis (rubber tree). The record is from RNAcentral. Lineage: Eukaryota; Viridiplantae; Streptophyta; Magnoliopsida; Malpighiales; Euphorbiaceae.